This 900-nucleotide long non-coding RNA is filed under the name Cricetulus griseus (Chinese hamster). RNAcentral's name for it is "lncRNA (ENSCGRG00015021417.2)". The record is from RNAcentral. Lineage: Eukaryota; Metazoa; Chordata; Mammalia; Rodentia; Cricetidae.
CAAAGAGGAUUCUGGGAAAUGUAGUAGAGAAAUGAUGUUCCAGGCAGGAAGUGACAUAACAAGGAGACUCAUAUUUAAGAAAAGAGAAACAGAAAGUGUCCCUUUUCCCCUCUGCUCUUCCUCCAGCAGUGCAGUGUGGUCCACUGGCAAGAGAAGGUGACAGCAGAAGGCAUCCUCUAUAAGGGUGCUGCGAGGGAAGAACACUGUUAAGUGAGCCAUGUGAGUGAGGGAUUUAUCUCCUGCUUAUGAAACAGUCAGCUCCUUUCUCAGCUUCAAAGAGAACAAAAGGUUUCUCUGUGUAGUCCUGGCUGUCAUGGAACUUGCUGUAUGGACCAAGCUAGCGUUGAACACACAGAGACCUGCCUGUCUCUGUCUCUGUAUGCUGGGAUUAAAGAGGCUUACGCAUCAAUUCUGAAAUGGAUGCUGAAGCAGAUAUGAGCAUGGAACCGAGGUGAUUAAACCUGAUAAUCCAAAGGGAAAAUGUGGAUCCUGUUAUGGAAUAUGUAAAAGAAAAGGAAAAAAAGAAGAGAAAAGAGAGGAAAGAUGGGUCUACUUGAGGACUCCACAUGCUGUUGAAACCUGAGGUUCCCAGAGAGGCUGGAGGCAUCAAAUACCCUGUAUCUGGAGUUACGAAUGGCUGUGAGCUAGUGGGGAUCCCAGACUGAACUCCGGUAAAAAGAUCCACUGGAAGAGAAGCAUGCACCCAUAACCAACUUAAUCAUCUCUACAGAGAUGUAUGUUUCCAUAACACUGUAAGUGUUUGUACCAGGAAAAUAAAUGUAUUUAAAGCACACUAACAGAAUGAUAUUGUUUUCACAAUGGCAAAGGUUGCUUGAAUUGAACAUUAACCAACUUAAAAGACAAAAAUAAAGAGUUAGCUAAUUGCACUUAAAUAUUAAA